UAGGGAAUCUUCCGCAAUGGGCGAAAGCCUGACGGAGCAACGCCGCGUGAGUGAUGAAGGUCUUCGGAUCGUAAAACUCUGUUAUUAGGGAAGAACAAAUGUGUAAGUAACUAUGCACGUCUUGACGGUACCUAAUCAGAAAGCCACGGCUAACUACGUGCCAGCAGCCGCGGUAAUACGUAGGUGGCAAGCGUUAUCCGGAAUUAUUGGGCGUAAAGCGCGCGUAGGCGGUUUUUUAAGUCUGAUGUGAAAGCCAACGGCUCAACCGUGGAAGGUCAAUGGAAACUGGAAAAGUAGAGUGCAAAAGAGGAAAGGGGAAUUCCAUGUGGAGCGGUGAAAUGCGCAGAGAUAUGGAGGAACACCAGGCGCGAAGGCGACUUUCUGGUCUGUAACUGACGCAGAUGUGCGAAAGCGGGGGGAUCAAACAGG
RNAcentral lists this ribosomal RNA (429 nucleotides) under Actinomycetes bacterium. RNAcentral's name for it is "Actinobacteria bacterium partial 16S ribosomal RNA". It matches the Rfam family "Bacterial small subunit ribosomal RNA", at positions 355 to 776 of the family's 1533-position model. Lineage: Bacteria; Bacillati; Actinomycetota; Actinomycetes. The record is from RNAcentral.